AUGGGGCAGGCCCGGUUCUGCGGGGAGACCCACGCAGAACCCGCGCAGCGCCAUUUCCGUUCUCCGCGUUAUGGUUCUGUGCGGAGGGGGGAGAAAAAAAUCAUAACAAUUAACAAAAAUAAAUACGAAAUAACGAACCCCGCGCGUGCCCUCUAUUGCGCCUCCCCGCAGGACCUUCGGGAGCGGGAGGGUCGCCUGAAAGAACCGGGAACCUGGCGGGACGUGUCCCUGCCCCCUGCGCAGGGACAAUGGAUGGUAUGGGCGGCACUCGUUGGAACGCCUCACGGCCCCGUUCUCCCCCAGCAGAGCAGCGGCACGAAACGAUCCCCACUCUCCUCGCUGUUUGUUCACCCCGCCGCUGAGAAAACCGGGGGUGCGAGGAGAUCGGUGUCUCUUAGCACCGAAAAUACCGCGCAACCAUUACAUGCAAUCGCCGCUCUGCCCUCCCCGCGCCUUAACUUUGAUUUUGGCGUUCAAUCUCGAGAGAAACCGAUCCCAAGUAGGCACCGCAGGGACAGACCCCGCUCGCUGCCCGAGCUUCAUUUUGAGAGGAGAAAAGGGCGAAAACAGGAGCGGGGUGCAGAGCACAGCGCUGGGAGCUGGGGUUCGCCAUCAGAAACGGCCCGGAGUGCUUCGCUCCAUUUCUCCUUCGCUCCAGCGAUAACACAACGGUGCGGCGGGCGGGGGGUGGGGUUGGGGGGAGCUUUUCGGACCAAACUCAAGAAACACACAGAUAGAAAUAGGGCCGAUAGUUUCUUCACUGGUACUAUCACAGGAAAAACAAAAACAAAAAAAAACAAAAAACAAAAAACCAGCAAUCGCAGCGGAGAAGGCAGCUCCCAACGCAGGAGGGGGAUUAAGGAAAGAAAACCUUUGCGACGCAGCUCCCGGCUCCGCGUUCCGCAGCGAACUGUCUGCAGCGGGGACCCGGCUCGGGGAUGGGUUCUGUGGGGCUUUUUGAAGCGAGCAGCAGCAGGAAAAAAUCCACCGUCCGCUCCGCCGGCGGAGCUCCGCGCUUUCUCUCCUCUCUCUUUUUUUCAGUCUCUUUCUCGGUGCCGGGCUGCGUUGGGACGCAUCGGAAAAACUCCUGAACUUUUGAGCAUCCGUCACCGCCGCGAGAACUUUUUUACGCACUUACGG
This 1140-nucleotide long non-coding RNA is filed under the name Meleagris gallopavo (turkey). Its description in RNAcentral is "lncRNA (ENSMGAG00000021048.1)". Lineage: Eukaryota; Metazoa; Chordata; Aves; Galliformes; Phasianidae. The record is from RNAcentral.